AUAAUCUGAAAACGAACACGCCUCAUUGUACAAUUGAUUUCAUCAGUUUCCUCCAUUCGACUAAAUUUUGUUAGAGAGUUUUAAAAGUCGGUAUUAGUUGGAAAUUCGCAAAGCGUCUGUGCCCUCUGCUUUUUCGCUUUCAAUCGUUUAAAAAAUUGGGCCUUUCAUCUUUACACAUUUUUUGGAGAUUCAAUAUAAACAUUAAAUUGUUUUAAUUCUUUUUUCAGAUAAGAUUUGCCCCAACACUGCUAAACCCGCCUCUUUUCUAUUCUCUUCAAGUUUCUUUUGUGAAAUGGCAGCCCAUCCAACGAAUCUGUACACACUACUUUUUGGCUCUUUAUCUCGUAUCUUCCGAGACUUGCAAUUUUUUUAAACAAUGAGAGAGUUCAACUGAAUUAGAUUCUUCGGUUCACUGUGACUUGGAGAACUACUGGGAAUAAUGGUACCCGCCUCGCAGGAUAACUGAUCAAUUUAAAAAUAUGAAUCACCGCGACUUCGUGUGAAUAGUCGACGUUGGAUAAAAAUGUACACGGAGAGAAAAAAUAUUGAGCAUAGUAAAAUUCCGAGAGCUCGAAUACAAGAAUCGCCGAUCCGCCGAAAUGUUUGAAAAUUUACUAUGGAACAUAGCAGAACUUCAUUCGCCCUUGAAUAUUUACACGGAGAGAAUAAAAUUGUAAAAAUUACUAUGACAUCAUAUCGCUUCUAUAUCGCUCAUUUUGGGCGGUUUUACCAAAAACAUUGUAACUUCCAAGUCAGUUUCGAACAAAAACUUUGAAAUUGCAUAUUUUGCUUUGACCGUGCAAAGGCUUAAACUGUGCUAUUUUUUCCUACGUAGUUCACCGAGGAAACAUUGUAAAAUUUGAUGAUGAACUGUAAAGUAGAAUUAUUAAUGCCGUUUUGCUAUGAUUAGUACUGUUCUCACAAUCGAAAUUUACAGUUGAACAUAGUAGAAUUUGAGGAGCUCGAACACAAGCAUCGAUAAUCCACCAAAGUGUUUAGAAAUUUACUGUGGUACACAGCAGAAUUUCAUUCGCACUUGUACGACAAUAUAUUUGUUUUGGUAUUACACAUAUCAACUUUGAUCGAGUUCUCGCUUCACAAAAAAUUAUUAUGUAUCUUCCUAGAAUUAAUAAAUAUCACGAUAUAGAACCCUACUCGAUGGGACCAUAAUAGUUUUGACUAGAAUUUUCUCCCCGUGUACAAAACGGCUGGUUGAGUUUUCGAAAGUAGCGUUUACGUUGCUACCAAAGCUGAAAUAACUUGAAAAAUCUAGUAACAAGCAUUCGACAUUUUUUCUACCUUCAUUAAAUCGAAUUUUUCGUUCUCUAUUUUAUGCUCGAUUUAAACAAAAAUGACAAAUUUCCAAAUUGCUAUUAUUGAGGGGGAAUUAUUUUGAAUUUUUUAUUCAUCGAGUUGAGAACUGACGUCUAUGAACGUCAGGGGAUUUUUGAUCGCGCGAGCAAAGUUGGGAGUGCAAGAGCCCGACUGCUUACGGGUUAAGAGAAGCCGGUGAGCAACGAACGUUUGAUGUUAACGUAUUAAUGAAGCCACGAAAAAUAAGUUUUAUGAACAAACAAAGUUAAUAAAUAAUUGUACAAAUGUUA
RNAcentral lists this long non-coding RNA (1604 nucleotides) under Venturia canescens. RNAcentral describes it as "uncharacterized LOC122416402". Lineage: Eukaryota; Metazoa; Arthropoda; Insecta; Hymenoptera; Ichneumonidae. The record is from RNAcentral.